RNAcentral lists this ribosomal RNA (542 nucleotides) under uncultured Glomeromycotina. Its description in RNAcentral is "SSU rRNA". It matches the Rfam family "Eukaryotic small subunit ribosomal RNA", at positions 552 to 1096 of the family's 1831-position model. Lineage: Eukaryota; Fungi; Glomeromycota. The record is from RNAcentral.
AGGGCAAGUCUGGUGCCAGCAGCCGCGGUAAUUCCAGCUCCAAUAGCGUAUAUUAAAGUUGUUGCAGUUAAAAAGCUCGUAGUUGAAUUUCGGGGACAGUAGAUUGGUCGUGCCACAGGUAUGUACUGGUCUUACUGGCUCCUCCUUCCUGAUGAACCGUAAUGCCAUUAAUUUGGUGUUGCGGGGAGACCGGACUGUUACUUUGAAAAAAUUAGAGUGUUUAAAGCAGGCUAACGCUUGAAUACAUAGCAUGGAAUAAUGAAAUAGGACGUUCGAUCUUAUUUUGUUGGUUUCUAAGAUUGACGUAAUGAUUAAUAGGGAUAGUUGGGGGCAUUAGUAUUCAAUUGUCAGAGGUGAAAUUCUUGGAUUUAUUGAAGACUAACUACUGCGAAAGCAUUUGCCAAGGAUGUUUUCAUUAAUCAAGAACGAAAGUUAGGGGAUCGAAGACGAUCAGAUACCGUCGUAGUCUUAACCAUAAACUAUGCCGACUAGGGAUCGGAUGAUGUUAAUUUUUUAAUGACUCAUUCGGCGCCUUACGGGAA